This 253-nucleotide ribosomal RNA is filed under the name uncultured bacterium. Its description in RNAcentral is "partial 16S ribosomal RNA". It matches the Rfam family "Bacterial small subunit ribosomal RNA", at positions 524 to 776 of the family's 1533-position model. The record is from RNAcentral.
UACAGAGGGUGCGAGCGUUAAUCGGAAUUACUGGGCGUAAAGCGUGCGUAGACGGUAAUGUAAGUCGGGUGUGAAAGCCCCGGGCUCAACCUGGGAAUUGCGAUGGAGACUGCAAGGCUAGAAUCUGGCAGAGGGGGGUAGAAUUCCACGUGUAGCAGUGAAAUGCGUAGAGAUGUGGAGGAACACCGAUGGCGAAGGCAGCCCCCUGGGUCAAGAUUGACGCUCAUGCACGAAAGCGUGGGGAGCAAACAGG